Molecule: long non-coding RNA, 725 nt
Organism: Lactuca sativa (garden lettuce)
Lineage: Eukaryota; Viridiplantae; Streptophyta; Magnoliopsida; Asterales; Asteraceae
Source: RefSeq, a predicted model, not a curated record
UUCAGAAUAUAAAAGACAAGUUGUGUGAUUAUUCCAAAACCCUACUAUUUUCUGCAUAACCUACGUUCUCUCUCUCUCAGAAAAUCAUUCACCACCGUAAACGAUUCCUACACUACGGAGCUACAAACGGCCAUAUUUUCAUCGCAAUCGUCAGCGACAUCCGACGGAGAUCCAAUCCGACCUGUAUAGUCUCUCUCCGGCAUCAUUAGUCACCAUCACAUGUAACACUGCCACAUCAACCUCUAAUCGACAUCAAAACCCACCAUUGUAUCUACCUUCUCUAAAACUAUAGGUGUUCAUAUUUUUCCACUUUUGUCUUCACAGGUGGAGUACCAUUGACAUCCAUCACCACCGCUUAAAACCAUAGAUAUAUACUCAUAAGCACAUCCUUUAACCCAAACUCUGGUUUAUGCGUUCUUCUCUAUCUAAUUCUUUGGGAUUUCAUAGAUUUUUUUUUCUUUCACCAUCUUACUCUUGCUAAAACGACAAGGGGCCAUAGUUUCAUUUUUUCUUCUUUGAACAGUUUGAAGAAUAUUAAACAGAGUUGAUUCACCUUUUUACAAAAAGGCUGAUCUAACUGCUUAGGAGCAUACACGGAUCUGUUCUUGUAUACUUAUGGUGCUGUUGUGAACAUUUUAGUAUUUUGUUUUGUUUAGUUUCUGUAAAGAUAUUUUCAUUAUAUUUAUAUAACAGUUGCUUGCUAAUAAUCAAAUAUUAUAUGGGUU